This 1462-nucleotide ribosomal RNA is filed under the name Streptococcus thermophilus. RNAcentral's name for it is "bacterial SSU rRNA". It matches the Rfam family "Bacterial small subunit ribosomal RNA". Lineage: Bacteria; Bacillati; Bacillota; Bacilli; Lactobacillales; Streptococcaceae. The record is from RNAcentral.
GGCGGCGUGCCUAAUACAUGCAAGUAGAACGCUGAAGAGAGGAGCUUGCUCUUCUUGGAUGAGUUGCGAACGGGUGAGUAACGCGUAGGUAACCUGCCUUGUAGCGGGGGAUAACUAUUGGAAACGAUAGCUAAUACCGCAUAACAAUGGAUGACACAUGUCAUUUAUUUGAAAGGGGCAAUUGCUCCACUACAAGAUGGACCUGCGUUGUAUUAGCUAGUAGGUGAGGUAAUGGCUCACCUAGGCGACGAUACAUAGCCGACCUGAGAGGGUGAUCGGCCACACUGGGACUGAGACACGGCCCAGACUCCUACGGGAGGCAGCAGUAGGGAAUCUUCGGCAAUGGGGGCAACCCUGACCGAGCAACGCCGCGUGAGUGAAGAAGGUUUUCGGAUCGUAAAGCUCUGUUGUAAGUCAAGAACGGGUGUGAGAGUGGAAAGUUCACACUGUGACGGUAGCUUACCAGAAAGGGACGGCUAACUACGUGCCAGCAGCCGCGGUAAUACGUAGGUCCCGAGCGUUGUCCGGAUUUAUUGGGCGUAAAGCGAGCGCAGGCGGUUUGAUAAGUCUGAAGUUAAAGGCUGUGGCUCAACCAUAGUUCGCUUUGGAAACUGUCAAACUUGAGUGCAGAAGGGGAGAGUGGAAUUCCAUGUGUAGCGGUGAAAUGCGUAGAUAUAUGGAGGAACACCGGUGGCGAAAGCGGCUCUCUGGUCUGUAACUGACGCUGAGGCUCGAAAGCGUGGGGAGCGAACAGGAUUAGAUACCCUGGUAGUCCACGCCGUAAACGAUGAGUGCUAGGUGUUGGAUCCUUUCCGGGAUUCAGUGCCGCAGCUAACGCAUUAAGCACUCCGCCUGGGGAGUACGACCGCAAGGUUGAAACUCAAAGGAAUUGACGGGGGCCCGCACAAGCGGUGGAGCAUGUGGUUUAAUUCGAAGCAACGCGAAGAACCUUACCAGGUCUUGACAUCCCGAUGCUAUUUCUAGAGAUAGAAAGUUACUUCGGUACAUCGGUGACAGGUGGUGCAUGGUUGUCGUCAGCUCGUGUCGUGAGAUGUUGGGUUAAGUCCCGCAACGAGCGCAACCCCUAUUGUUAGUUGCCAUCAUUCAGUUGGGCACUCUAGCGAGACUGCCGGUAAUAAACCGGAGGAAGGUGGGGAUGACGUCAAAUCAUCAUGCCCCUUAUGACCUGGGCUACACACGUGCUACAAUGGUUGGUACAACGAGUUGCGAGUCGGUGACGGCGAGCUAAUCUCUUAAAGCCAAUCUCAGUUCGGAUUGUAGGCUGCAACUCGCCUACAUGAAGUCGGAAUCGCUAGUAAUCGCGGAUCAGCACGCCGCGGUGAAUACGUUCCCGGGCCUUGUACACACCGCCCGUCACACCACGAGAGUUUGUAACACCCGAAGUCGGUGAGGUAACCUUUUGGAGCCAGCCGCCUAAGGUGGGACAGAUGAUUGGGGUGAA